Molecule: ribosomal RNA, 20 nt
Filed under: Amanita rimosa
Lineage: Eukaryota; Fungi; Basidiomycota; Agaricomycetes; Agaricales; Amanitaceae
Description: partial 28S ribosomal RNA
Source: RNAcentral
UUGACCUCAAAUCAGUAGGC